This 253-nucleotide ribosomal RNA is filed under the name uncultured bacterium. RNAcentral describes it as "partial 16S ribosomal RNA". It matches the Rfam family "Bacterial small subunit ribosomal RNA", at positions 524 to 776 of the family's 1533-position model. The record is from RNAcentral.
UACGUAGGUGGCAAGCGUUGUCCGGAAUUAUUGGGCGUAAAGCGCGCGCAGGCGGUUCCUUAAGUCUGAUGUGAAAGCCCACGGCUCAACCGUGGAGGGUCAUUGGAAACUGGGGGACUUGAGUGCAGAAGAGGAGAGCGGAAUUCCACGUGUAGCGGUGAAAUGCGUAGAGAUGUGGAGGAACACCAGUGGCGAAGGCGGCUCUCUGGUCUGUAACUGACGCUGAGGUGCGAAAGCGUGGGGAGCGAACGGG